GACGAACGCUGGCGGCGUGCUUAACACAUGCAAGUCGAACGGAAAGGCCCGGCUUUUGUGGGGUGCUCGAGUGGCGAAGGGGUGAGUAACACGUGAGUAACCUGCCCUUGACUUUGGGAUAACUUCAGGAAACUGGGGCUAAUACCGGAUAGGAGCUCUUGCUGCAUGGUGGGGGUUGGAAAGUUUCGGCGGUUGGGGAUGGACUCGCGGCUGAUCAGCUUGUUGGUGGGGUAGUGGCUGACCAAGGCUUUGACGGGUAGCCGGCCUGAGAGGGUGAGCGGCGACAUUGGGACGGAGAUAGGGCCCAGACUCGUACGGGACGCAGCAGGGGGGAAGAUUACACAAUGGGCGGGAGGCAGAUGCGGCAACGCCGCGUGCGGGAUGCCGGCCUUCGGGUUGUAAACCGCUUUCGCCUUUGACGAAGCGUGAGUGACGGUAAUGGGUAGAGAAGCACCGGCUAACUACGUG
This 468-nucleotide ribosomal RNA is filed under the name uncultured bacterium. RNAcentral describes it as "partial 16S ribosomal RNA". It matches the Rfam family "Bacterial small subunit ribosomal RNA", at positions 28 to 507 of the family's 1533-position model. The record is from RNAcentral.